GCAUAUCAAUAAGCGGAGGAAAAGAAACCAACAGGGAUUGCCCUAGUAACGGCGAGUGAAGCGGCAACAGCUCAAAUUUGAAAUCUGGCUUCGGCCCGAGUUGUAAUUUGUAGAGGAUGCUUUUGGUGAGGUGCCUUCUGAGUUCCCUGGAACGGGACGCCAGAGAGGGUGAGAGCCCCGUAUAGUCGGCCACCGAUCCUCUGUAAAGCUCCUUCGACGAGUCGAGUAGUUUGGGAAUGCUGCUCAAAAUGGGAGGUAUAUCUCUUCUAAAGCUAAAUAUUGGCCAGAGACCGAUAGCGCACAAGUAGAGUGAUCGAAAGAUGAAAAGCACUUUGAAAAGAGGGUUAAAUAGCACGUGAAAUUGUUGAAAGGGAAGCGCUUGUGACCAGACUUGUGCCGGGCUGAUCAUCCAGUGUUCUCACUGGUGCACUCGACCCGGCUCAGGCCAGCGUCGGUUCUCGUAGGGGGAUAAAAGCUUCGGGAACGUGGCACCUUCGGGUGUGUUAUAGCCCGUUGCUUAAUACCCUUGUGGGGACCGAGGUUCGCGCUCUGCAAGGACGCUGGCAUAAUGGUCAUCAGCGACCCGUCUUGAAACACGGACCAAGGAGUCGAGGUUUUGCGCGAGUGUUUGGGUGUAAAACCCGCACGCGUAAUGAAAGUGAACGUAGGUGAGAGCUUCGGCGCAUCAUCGACCGAUCCUGAUGUAUUCGGAUGGAUUUGAGUAAGAGCGUAUAGCCUCGGACCCGAAAGAUGGUGAACUAUGCCUGAAUAGGGUGAAGCCAGAGGAAACUCUGGUGGAGGCUCGCAGCGGUUCUGACGUGCAAAUCGAUCGUCAAAUUUGGGCAUGGGGGCGAAAGACUAAUCGAACCAUCUAGUAGCUGGUUACCGCCGAAGUU
RNAcentral lists this ribosomal RNA (896 nucleotides) under Plenodomus chelidonii. RNAcentral's name for it is "LSU rRNA". It matches the Rfam family "Eukaryotic large subunit ribosomal RNA", at positions 38 to 968 of the family's 3401-position model. The record is from RNAcentral. Lineage: Eukaryota; Fungi; Ascomycota; Dothideomycetes; Pleosporales; Leptosphaeriaceae.